This 206-nucleotide ribosomal RNA is filed under the name uncultured bacterium. RNAcentral's name for it is "partial 16S ribosomal RNA". It matches the Rfam family "Bacterial small subunit ribosomal RNA", at positions 568 to 774 of the family's 1533-position model. The record is from RNAcentral.
UGCGCAGGCGGUUUUGUAAGACAGUGGUGAAAUCCCCGGGCUCAACCUGGGAACUGCCAUUGUGACUGCAAAGCUAGAGUACGGUAGAGGGGGAUGGAAUUCCGCGUGUAGCAGUGAAAUGCGUAGAUAUGCGGAGGAACACCGAUGGCGAAGGCAAUCCCCUGGACCUGUACUGACGCUCAUGCACGAAAGCUGGGGAGCAAACA